UUAAGGUGAAUCAUCUCUUUCUACGAGGUUGUAGUGCCUUUUAGCAUUGGGAAGUACCAUGAUGAGAUAGUUUGUGAUGUGGUGCCUAUGGUAGCUACCCAUUUAUUGUUGGGCCGUCCAUGGCAAUUUGAUAGAAGUGUGGUUCAUGAUGGGACAAAGAACAAGUAUACGGUUUUGAAAGAUGGCCGAACCUACACCUUGCUUCCUAUGUCACCAUCUCAAGUGCAUGAAGACCAAGUGAGGAUCUAAAAAUCAGUUAAGGAAAAGAAAGAUUGGAGAGAAAAUUUGAGAGAGGCCAAGCUUGAUGAGAGGAGAGUGAGAGCAAAAGAAUUAUAAAAAAAGAAAAGAGUGAGGGCUUGGGGCAAAAGGAGAUUAGAUAGAAUAAAAUAAGUUUGUAUGUGAGAGGAAAAGAAGUGAGGGAAGCCUUACAAGAGGGGAGACCUCUUUGUGUGCUUAUGUACCGGGAGGUGAAUUUAUGUUUAUCUGAUAUUGACCAAAAAUUGCCUAGUGGUGUUGUUUCUUUAUUGCAGGAAUUUGAGGAUGUGUUUCCAGAUGAUCUUCCUUCGGGUUUGCCACCAAUUCAGGGGAUAGAACACCAAAUUGACCUCAUUCCAGGUGCUCCAAUUCCAAAUAGACUAGCAUAUAGGAGUAAUCCUGAGGAGACAAAAGAACUACAAAGGCAAGUGGAGGAACUUUUAGCAAAGGGCUAUAUGCAUGAAAGUGUGAGUCCAUGUGCGGUUCCAGUGCUCCUUGUACCAAAGAAGGAUGAGACAUUUAGAAUGUGUGUAGAUUGUCGUGCUAUCAAAAAAAUCAUGGGCCGAAUUUGAGGAUGAAUUCUUUUCAAGAAGGAGAGAAUGAUGAGGAGACGCCAACAUUGGAGCCACUUCCAUUGUUCAAGAGUCCAAUUACAAGAGCAAGGGCAAAGGAGUUGCAAAACUUGGUGAGUAGACUUUGGAGGAGCCAAGAGGAUCAGAUUAGGCUUGGGCUUAGGCCUUUCAAGGACAAAUGGAUCAGCUUCAUACAAUUGGACCUUGGAGCCUAGCCUCUAGAAUAUUCUAUUUUUGUUUCUUUAUGCCAUGUGGCAGAUUAGUUAUUUGUAAUUCAUAUAAAUACUUAUCUUCUACAUCAAAUGGGAUAGCUAAUAUUAAACAUUGAGAGAGCAUUGAUUUUCAGCCAUCACUGUCAAUUGUGAGA
RNAcentral lists this unclassified non-coding RNA (1194 nucleotides) under Hevea brasiliensis (rubber tree). Lineage: Eukaryota; Viridiplantae; Streptophyta; Magnoliopsida; Malpighiales; Euphorbiaceae. The record is from RNAcentral.